Molecule: ribosomal RNA, 489 nt
Filed under: uncultured bacterium
Lineage: Bacteria
Description: partial 16S ribosomal RNA
Rfam family: Bacterial small subunit ribosomal RNA
Source: RNAcentral
GACGAACGCUGGCGGCGUGCUUAACACAUGCCAGUCGAACGGAAAGGCCCCCACCUUGGUGGGGGUGCUCGAGUGGCGAACGGGUGAGUAACACGUGGGUGAUCUGCCCUGUACUUCGGGAUAAGCUUGGGAAACUGGGUCUAAUACCGGAUAGGACCAUGGUUUAGUGUCUCAUGGUGGAAAAAUUAUUGUUUUGGUGCAGGAUGAGCUCGCGGCCUAUCAGCUUGUUGGUGGGGUAAUGGCCUACCAAGGCGUCGACGGGUAGCCGGCCUGAGAGGGUGGACGGCCACAUUGGGACUGAGAUACGGCCCAGACUCCUACGGGAGGCAGCAGUGGGGAAUAUUGCACAAUGGGCGCAAGCCUGAUGCAGCGACGCCGCGUGGGGGAUGACGGCCUUCGGGUGGUAAACUCCUUUCGUUAGGGACGAAGCCACACCUUUUUUGGGUGUGGUGACGGUACCUUUGUUAAGAAGCACCGGCUAACUACGUG